Molecule: ribosomal RNA, 492 nt
Filed under: uncultured bacterium
Lineage: Bacteria
Description: partial 16S ribosomal RNA
Rfam family: Bacterial small subunit ribosomal RNA
Source: RNAcentral
AGUGAACGCUGGCGGUAGGCCUAACACAUGCAAGUCGAACGGCAGCACAGUAAGAGCUUGCUCUUACGGGUGGCGAGUGGCGGACGGGUGAGGAAUACAUCGGAAUCUACUUUUUCGUGGGGGAUAACGUAGGGAAACUUACGCUAAUACCGCAUACGACCUACGGGUGAAAGCAGGGGAUCUUCGGACCUUGCGCGAUUGAAUGAGCCGAUGUCGGAUUAGCUAGUUGGCGGGGUAAAGGCCCACCAAGGCGACGAUCCGUAGCUGGUCUGAGAGGAUGAUCAGCCACACUGGAACUGAGACACGGUCCAGACUCCUACGGGAGGCAGCAGUGGGGAAUAUUGGACAAUGGGCGCAAGCCGGAUCCAGCCAUACCGCGUGGGUGAAGAAGGCCUUCGGGUUGUAAAGCCCUUUUGUUGGGAAAGAAAAGCAGCAGGUUAAUACCCCGCUGCUCUGACGGUACCCAAAGAAUAAGCACCGGCUAACUUCGUG